RNAcentral lists this ribosomal RNA (253 nucleotides) under uncultured bacterium. RNAcentral's name for it is "partial 16S ribosomal RNA". It matches the Rfam family "Bacterial small subunit ribosomal RNA", at positions 524 to 776 of the family's 1533-position model. The record is from RNAcentral.
UACGGAGGGAGCUAGCGUUGUUCGGAAUUACUGGGCGUAAAGGGCGCGUAGGCGGCUUAACAAGUCACUUGUGAAAUCUCCGGGCUUAACUCGGAACGGCCAAGUGAAACUGUCAAGCUAGAGUGCAGAAGGGGCAAUCGGAAUUCUUGGUGUAGCGGUGAAAUGCGUAGAUAUCUGGAGGAACACCGGUGGCGAAGGCGGCGUCCUGGACCAACACUGACACUGAUGAGCGAAAGCCAGGGGAGCAAACGGG